This 442-nucleotide ribosomal RNA is filed under the name uncultured bacterium. Its description in RNAcentral is "partial 16S ribosomal RNA". It matches the Rfam family "Bacterial small subunit ribosomal RNA", at positions 338 to 795 of the family's 1533-position model. The record is from RNAcentral.
CCUACGGGAGGCAGCAGUGGGGGAUAUUGCACAAUGGGGGAAACCCUGAUGCAGCGACGCCGCGUGGGCGAAGAAGUUUUUCGGUAUGUAAAGCCCUAUCAGCAGGGAAGAAGAAAUGACGGUACCUGAGUAAGAAGCACCGGCUAAAUACGUGCCAGCAGCCGCGGUAAUACGUAUGGUGCAAGCGUUAUCCGGAUUUACUGGGUGUAAAGGGAGCGCAGGCGGCACGGCAAGCCUGAUGUGAAAGGCCGCGGCCCAACCGCGGGACUGCAUUGGAAACUACCGGGCUGGAGUGCCGUAGAGGUAGGCGGAAUUCGUAGUGUAGCGGUGAAAUGCGUAGAUAUUAGGAGGAACACCAGUGGCGAAGGCAGCCUACUGGACGGUGACUGACGCUGAGGCUCGAAAGCGUGGGGAGCAAACAGGAUUAGAUACCCCUGUAGUC